ACCAGGGGGCUUUGGGGAGAAAAAAGGAAAAAUAACAUCUUCAAAAAAAAAAAAAAGAGGGCAACUUGAGCACUUGUUCCAACCGCCCCAGCCCAACCCAACCUCUAAACGUGACUGGAAAAAAUAUGUACUUUAAAAAUCUAUAACCGGGCUAGAAACUACAAAGGGAUAUCCUCAUUAUCAGAAAUUAUGAGGAAUAAAGGAUGCUGGGAAGUGAAAGGCAGAUAGAUGGGAUUGAGUUGAAGGUAAAAAUCUAGCCAUAAAUGUUCAGAAGAGGAUGCCUGUAAAGUGGGGCUGGUCCUCGGGGCGUGCCGAGCACAGGGGAGGCAGGUCCGGGGAGCAGGAGAGGUGACAAGGUGACUGAUGGGGUGUGGCAAGGGUUUGCUCCUCCCCAUCCUGCUGCACCAAGCAGCUGGCGACAGAUGCUGCUAGCAGACAGCAGAGAGAUAAGGACAAACUAGGGGAAAUUAUUCACCACAAAGGGGCCGGACACAGGGCUCAUUUCCUUCAUAAACAAUGAGCCAUCUAUCGAUAAGAUAAAGACCAACAGCCAACAGAAAAUCCAGGGCGAAGAUGCAAUCAGGCAGUUCACAGAGAAGGAAAUGCAAAUAACUAAUACCCAUAUGAGAAGAUGCUGGAUCUCACUCAUAAUUAAAGAAAUCCUGAUUAAAACAACGAGAUACAUAUUGUUCACUAUUAGCAAAGAUUUGGAAAGCCCGCGGGUGCUCAGGGCUGGUGGGGGUAUGAGAAAGAGGCCUCUCACACAGUGCCGGUGGGGUGUAAAUUGGUACGACCUUUCUGGAGGACAAUUUGACUUUAGCUAUCAAACAGAAUUAUUAAGGUAUUGGAAGAGAAUAUGAUGAAAUAUUUUUUAUAUUCUUGGAGUGGGGAAAACCUUCGUAAGAAAGACAAAAUCUAGAAGCCCUAAAGGAAAAGAUGGACAGAUUUGACCUCAUAAAAAUUUAAAACUUUUGUAGGGCUAGAGACCAUAUCAAAGAUAGAAGACAAAUGACAGACAGUAGGUGCAACAUGCGUAAUAACCCUAAAAUGUAGAGUCCCUUCAUAUCAAAGGCUAAAGCUUUAUAUGUCAGUAUAUAAAAGGUCAAAGGACAAGAACAAGCAAUUCACAGGAGAAGAAAUUCAAAUGGCCUCGCAUUGAGAAAUGACAUUUAUGCUCACUAGAGAUCAGAGAAAUGCAAAUUUGAAAUUUGGUAAUAUCUAGCAUUGGCGAAAAGAAAGGAAUGCUCCUGUGUGCUGGGGGCGUUCUGUGCCAGGACAGCCUUUUGAAGGCCAUUGGAAGAACCUGUCAAGAUGUAAAAUGUGCAGAUAAACUUCCAGACAUCUGUUCUUUGGAGACACCUGCUCAGUAGUACAUGGAUAAGUGAAGUAUGCUCCUCACCGAACUGUUUGUAUUAGAGAAAAGCUGGAGAUAAUCUGAACAAUCAGAGAGUGGGAAGAGAAAGGGGAGUUCACCUUUUAUUUUUAUAUUGUUUGAAUUUUUUCUAUUUAAUACGUUUUAAAUUUAAUGCCAAAAAGGGGGGAAAUGCUGUGUCUGAUUUUCGGGAAAUUAUGAGAGUGAGCUGAAAUUCCAGCAUCUCCUCUCCCUAAAUCCCAUUAAAAAGUCCUUGAAAUCAGCCCAAACAAACUCUCAGGCACAGCCAGAGCAAAAAUGGAGGAGCGUAGCUCUGAAUCCUGAAUCCACAUGGUCCAGCCCCUCCAAUGGGAAGAGACGAAGGAGUGGAUUCCCUUCACACAACCUCCAUCACACCUGGCUGGAGUGGCCACAACUGCACGGAGGAGGGAGAAGGAAGGCAGCUCCUGCCGCUGGCCCUCGCCCAGUGCUCUUAUCUGGGCUGAGCACCCAGCCCAGGAAAGGGAACCAGGACAACUGCCCAGGCCUCCAAGAUCAGGUUCACAAUUGCUCUGAAUGGAACAAGGAAGAAAAUUACCUGUCUCACCCCAAGUCGUGGGGCAUCUAUGAUGAGGACACGGAAACUUGGGAACCCAGGAAAACAACUCGGAUGCAGGAAGAGCCAAGACUGCAGUCAAGCUGGGCUGCAGAUCUUUGCUCUGUCCUCCUGCAAAUAGCACCAGUGAGUCAUCCCUCCCCAGGGAGAUGCUUUUCUCUCUGCCUCCACCAUUUGGUCUCAUCGCACUCGUGACUCUUCUCUGUGUCAUCACUCCUACUCAGGGCUGAUAGUCAAAAUACCUAACAACUUCUAAAGCAUGGGCACCCGCCAAACAAACAGACACCAGCUGUGAACAAUGGAAAGAGGUAGCAAAUUACCCCAAAACUCAGUGGUUUAGAACAACAAAUAUUUAUGAUCUCAUGCACUUACGGAUCUGGAAUUCGGAGCUGCUUAGCUGAGUGGUUCUGGCUCAGGGCCUCCCCUGAAGUUGUAGGCAAGAUGUUGGUUGGAGUUGCAAUCAUUUGAAGGCUUGAUGGGCCUGGAGGAUCCACUUCCAAGAUGUCUUACUUGCAAGACUGUUGGCAUGAGGCCUCAGUGCCACAGCAGUGGGCCUCUCCAUAGGGCUGCUUGAGUGUCCUCACAACAUGGUGGCUGGCUUCCCCAGAGAGAGUGAUCCAACAUAGGAAGGCAGAGUCACAAUGUCUUUCAUGACCUAACCUGGAAGGUCACAUGUUGUCACUUCUGCAAUAUCUUAGUACAUACACAGAUCAGCUGUAUUCUGUGUGGGAGGGGCUACACAAAGUUGUAAAUACCAGGAGGUCAGGAUCCUCGGGGGACAUUCUGGAGGCUGGCUACCAUGGGUACCAUAUCACUCCCUGUUUAAAACCCUCUAAUGGCUUCCCAGCACUCUUAGAAUAAAAUACAAAUGCCUGGCCGUGGUCGGCAAUGCCUGGCAUGAACUGGCUCCUACCCGCUUUCCAUCUCAGCGUGUCCUUGUUCACCCACCUGCACUAAACUUCAAACACUCCAACUUUCCAUCUGUCCCUCAACAUCAUCAACUCGUCCUUUAUAUUUUCUGUGCCUUCUGCCUGGAAGUCUGCUUACCCAUAUCUUUGCAUGGCUGGUUCCUUCUCAUCUUUCAGGUCUCAGCUCAAAUGUCACCCCUUCAGACAGGUAUCUUGACCACCUUAUCAAAAGUUGCCCCCACCCCUGCCUGUCACUUUCUCUCACAUCACCUUGUGUGUGUAUGUGUUUCCACUGUCACAAAUUUGUAGCUACUACUCAAUUUACAUGUUCUGACUUGCCGUGUGAUGUAUUUACAAGUGCAGUCAGUUCCAAAGGGAUGCUCCGUUUCCAUUCACAUCUCCUUGUGUUAACAUCUUCCUAGCAUGACCUCUGUCAGAAAGUAUCUCACUCAUUGGAUUAUUGCCCUUCUCCCUCCACAUACCAGUAAGAGACCUUGCUUACAAGCAACAGACUCCUCUCUAGCUGGUGGAAGCUGAAGAGGAAUUUAUUAAAGGAUAUUAGGUGCCUUAUAAAAUCCUUGUGAAAGCAGAAAACUAGGCUUGGAAGCUGUUUACAUGGACCGGUCCUCAGAUAGCCCCCAAUGCACACACACUGCCAUUUGCCCUGGUGGGCACUUGAAGACGGUUCCCCCAUUGGGAUGCCUGCUGCUGCUGCCUCUCAGAGCCGUAUGGGUCUGCUGCCGUCCUCGCCAGGAAGGAUUCCUUGGCACCUGCUUCUCAGUGUCACUUAGCCUCAUGCAGGCGCAUCUGAGUGGUGGUUUCUUAAGUUGCAUGCUCGGCCUAUUCUGUAAGCAAGGCUGGGAAAGCAUCUGGCUUCCACCAUGUGGAGGGGUGAGUCCAUAAGGUGAGGAAUUCUCAAAAUAGAGGCAGAGUAUUCCCUGGUUUGGGGAAGCCAAAGUCAGUUGUUGACAUACAUCCUCUUUAGUCUACCCCGUUGGUUACUUAACCUCAUCAUCAGCCCUUCCUCCAUGCUUAAACUUACAGAUAAGAACAGAACCCAAAAGCAAGCCAAGAGGUUUCUCAAAAAGGAAAUAGUUACUUGCAAAAAGAAUUCAUGGCUUCAUUCCAGAACUUAGGGUUUUCUGCUAUUCUCUGACCCUCUUGCUCACGUAUUUAUUUAUGCCUUGCCGAGAGCACCCCUCUGGGUAAGCACUAUGAGAACAGGAAUCUUCUUCAUCCCUGCCCCCUCAGUCCCCAGAACAGUGCCUGCAAUGUCACAGGUGCCCACAAGUGUUAAUGAAUUGUGUCUGCAAAGUCCUCUCCCACACUGAAUAGGGCUGACCUGUGCAACUGAUGGGACAUUGCAGAAAUGGCAGUGUGUGACAUUCAAGUCUCAGCUCCCAUGGCUAACUGCCUCAUUCUUUGUCCCCAGUUUCAGAGAUGAGGAAUCUGACUGGCUCAUAUUGUCUAUUUGGACCAAGUCAUAGGUUGUCAGGGGACCUGUAAAUUAGAGGCUAUGAGGAGAGGUGCCUGUCCACUUUAUUCAACCAGAAGGAGCUGUGGCAUCCCCGACACCGUGGUUGACGUGUCUUGUACAAUGGGGUCACAUCUUAUCUGAGGAUUGGAUUCUAAAAUCUCCAGAGUAAGCCCUUAAUAUCUGUUAAAUAAAUGAAUGAAAGACUUUCUAAUGGACUGGGAUGGGUCAUCUCAUACCAAUGAAAAUGAGAAGCUACCCCGACUCGAAGAUCUAGCCUGGUGAAAUCCCUAAACCCGAUGGAAAAAUAAAGACUUCUCCCAAAUUUCAAACAAAAAACAGUUGGAUGACUUUCAAAAAUCUUGAUAAUUGGAACAGCUUUGAACUUCACACUGCAAUAGUCAUCACCUGAGACAACAGAGUGAAAACUGGAGAAUCAAUGAGGGGACAUGUGCCUCCCAGGUGCCCAAAACCCGAAGCCCGGAAGACAGUCAAAGGCAACCUCAGACCCAGAACCUCAGGAAAAUGGCCUCAGGGGCCUUGAGUGAAACACAGACUAAAGGACACCUGGAAAGCGAGAGCUCUCGUCAGUCUGCUGACGCUGAUGGACUGCCGUCUGUGGGCCGCCUGUCCCCUUCUCCUGGGCCUUGGGUUCUGGGUUCCAGGGGGAGGAGGCAGUCAGUCAACAAACAAGUGAAAGAAUGAUUGAAUCAACCCUCAGAGGGCAGGGCUGGCCUGCUGCCUUACGUUGGUGGCAGCAGGGCUGGCAGGGCAGCCUCCAUCUGCCCCAUAGGGCAGCUGCGCAGGUUGCAGCCCAGCCUGCCACUGGCAACUCCAGCUGUGACAUUGCAGACUCCUUGACCCUGGGCUGUGACCCUGUGAUCACUCUGCGCGGUGGGGUAGGACGGGGGCUGGGACUGGGCACCCCUCCCCCUGUUCAUUGUGAUGAGGGAAUGGCAGCCCAGGUCCCUCCCGCAGAUCCCCAGGGGCCCCCACCCUAGUGAGCUGGACCCCUCUGAACCUGGAGCAGUCUUUUGUGCUUUGACAUCAGCCACACCAGCAGUGAACAGAAGCCUACUCUCUCCCCUUCCUCCUGAGCCUCAGGGUCCCAGGGCAGGCACAGCCCAGGACCCUCCCCAGCUCUGUCCAGGUGGGCAGGUGACUCAGCCUGCCACAUGGCAGGAAAGGAAACGGAGGAGACUCCUGAAGCCCAGGUCCCCACACCGCUCCUUUCCUCCAGCUUGGGCUACUGUGGCCAGGUUAUAUCCACGAGCACUCAUGUGCGUCCCUUGUCCAUUCUUUCAGUUGUAUUUAUUGUGUACCUACUGUGCGCUAGAAGCUGGUGGGGUUUCACUCUACAGAGAUGGCCAACGCUGGUCUCUACACAGGUCAACCGUUCCCAGCUCUCUGAAGCUCUGGAACAAUCGCCUUGGACACAUCACCCACCCUGUGCACAGUGAGAAAGUAGGCAGUACUUUUUGUCCCUUGGGGACAAAAAUAAAAACCCAGUCACUUAAGUGUCACUCCUACAGCAGCAAUGACUUAAUGACUGGAGAUAGGAAAAAAAUACCAUUGUCUGAACAAAGAGAUGUACUUCGUGAAUUUUAUUAUACUGACUGACAUGCUUAAUUCCCUUCCCUUUGGGAAAAAAGAAGAAAAAAGCACUGGAUGCCCCCUCCUCCUAAAAAAGAUAAAAAUAAAUGAUCAGAACAGACACAAAA
Equus caballus (horse) is the source of this 6070-nucleotide long non-coding RNA. RefSeq lists it as uncharacterized. The record is from RefSeq and is a predicted model, not a curated record. Lineage: Eukaryota; Metazoa; Chordata; Mammalia; Perissodactyla; Equidae.